GUCUAUGGCCAUGCCACCCUGAACAAGCCCAAUGUCUGAUCUCGGAAGCUAAGCAGGGUCAAGCCUGGUUAGUUCUUGGAUGGGAGACCACCUAGGAAGACCAGAUGCUGUAGACA
Molecule: ribosomal RNA, 116 nt
Filed under: Pteropus alecto (black flying fox)
Lineage: Eukaryota; Metazoa; Chordata; Mammalia; Chiroptera; Pteropodidae
Source: RNAcentral